Small nuclear RNA from Erinaceus europaeus (western European hedgehog), 107 nucleotides. The record is from RefSeq and is a predicted model, not a curated record. Lineage: Eukaryota; Metazoa; Chordata; Mammalia; Eulipotyphla; Erinaceidae.
GUCCUAGCUUUGAUAGUACAUAUACUGAAAUUGGCAUGAUACAGAGAAGAUUAGCAUGGCCCCUGCUCAAGGAUUACACACAAAUUCAUGAAGUGUAACAUAUUUUU